Molecule: small nuclear RNA, 106 nt
Filed under: Myotis davidii
Lineage: Eukaryota; Metazoa; Chordata; Mammalia; Chiroptera; Vespertilionidae
Source: RNAcentral
GCGCUUGAUUCGGCAGCACAUAUACUAAAAUUGGAACGAUACAGAGAAGAUUAGCAUAGCCCUGCGCAAGGAUGACACGCAAAUUUGUGAAGCAUUCCGUAUUUUA